UGUUGGUUUGAGAGGUUGAAGCUGCCAGCAUGAUCUGGUAAUGAUCUAACCAAAACCUUUCUAUACGUAGACCUAUAUUUAUAUUUCUAUACACAUCAAGCUAUGGAUUAUUAAAUUUCCAGUUUUCGUUACAAAGUUUUCUGCUAUAUUCCUUUCAAUUAUGCUAUCAAUUUUUACCAAGGGAAAGGAUUUACGAGUACUGAAAAGUACCCAUAUAUCCUUGUAGCCUAAAAAGAGGAAUAGUUCCUGAUUGUU
Molecule: microRNA precursor, 255 nt
Filed under: Manihot esculenta (cassava)
Lineage: Eukaryota; Viridiplantae; Streptophyta; Magnoliopsida; Malpighiales; Euphorbiaceae
Description: miR167a stem-loop (mes-MIR167a)
Gene: mes-MIR167a
Source: miRBase by way of RNAcentral